Molecule: non-coding RNA, 90 nt
Organism: Diaporthe ampelina
Lineage: Eukaryota; Fungi; Ascomycota; Sordariomycetes; Diaporthales; Diaporthaceae
Source: Rfam
GGUUCUAUAGUGUAGUUGGUCAUCACAUCGGAUUCUGAUUCCCUCAUCAGUAUCUUUCCGGGGACCUGGGUUCGAAUCCCAGUAGGACCU